ACACUGCGGGUGGUGUUUGACUGUGGUGCAGCAUGCAAGGGAACGUCGCUGAACCAACAGCUCUUGCAAGGUCCAAACCGCACAAGUACAUUGCUAGGGGUCCUCAUUAGGUUCAGACAGGAACCGGUGGCAGUAAUGGGUGACAUCCAAGCAAUGUUCCAUCAGGUCAAAGUAGCAGAGGAGGACAGAGAUUUCCUGCGCUUUUUGUGGUGGCCAGAGGGAGAUCUUACCAAGGAGGUGGCUGAAUUCCGCAUGACUGUCCAUCUGUUUGGGGCAGUGUCCUCCCCAAGUUGUGCCAGCUUUGCUUUAAGAAAAACAGCAGAUGACAAUCAGCUUGACUUUCCAGCUGCAGUGGUUCAGACAGUCAAAGAGAACUUUUAUGUGGACGACUGGCUGAAGAGCAUGGGCACAGAAGAGGAAGCCACACACAUGGUUAAUGAUCUGACUUCUCUCUGCCAGCGGGGAGGUUUCACUCUAACCAAAUGGAUUAGCAAUAACCGUACCAUGCUGCAAACUCUUCCUGAGGAGCACAGAGCUAAGGAUCUGAUAGAACUGAAUCUCGAUAAAGACCAACUGCCUGUGGAAAGAGCUCUUGGGCUGCAGUGGUGUGCUGAGACUGACUCAUUUAAUUUCAAGAUGGAGGUCCAGCAAAAGACUUGCACUAGAAGAGGAAUGUUGUCCGUCUCUAGCUCUGUGUAUGAUCCUCUGGGGUUUCUUGCACCAGUUGUGUUGCCUGCUAAAAGCAUGCUACAGGAGCUGUGCAGAAGAAAUUUUGGAUGGGACGAGACCAUACCCCAGGACAUUUUGCAUCAAUGGACAAAAUGGAUGGAAGACCUGGAUAUGCUCUCUGAGUUUAAGGUCGGAAGGUGUGUUAAACCUAAGGAUUUUAGACAUCCCAUACAUGCUCAGCUACAUCAUUUUUCAGACGCUAGUGAAACAGGAUAUGGAGCUGUCACCUAUCUCAGGAUGCAGAAUGAGAAAAAUGACAUCCAUGUUGCAUUUCUGAUUGGUAAGGCAAGGGUUACACCUUUAAAGACAGUUACCAUUCCACGCUUGGAGCUGACGGCUGCUGUCCUGGCUGUUCGUGUUGACCUCAUGCUAAAGGCAGAGCUGAGGCUUCAGCUGCAGGAGUCAGUCUUCUGGACGGAUAGCACGUCUGUGCUGAAGUACAUCAUGAAUGAGGACAAGCGUUUCCAUACGUUCGUAGCCAACAGGAUCUCAACUAUCAGAGAGGCCACUAAAACUUCACAAUGGAGGUAUGUGAGCUCUAAAGAAAAUCCUGCGGAUAUUGCAUCCAGAGGAGUGAGAGUUGGAAAUUUCAUACAGGACAACAGGUGGAUUCAGGGUCCAAAGUUUCUGUAUGAACCAGAAGGUAACUGGCCAGCAAAGCUGGUAGAUAUUGCUAUAUCAGCAACUGACACAGAGGUCAAGAAGGAAGCCACGGUGAAUGUCAUCCAUGUGGAAGGUUCACCUGAAGCCACUGGUCGGCUAAUAGCCUACUUUUAGACUGGAUGAAGCUUAAAGUAUCUGUUGCCUGGUUUCUUAGGCUGAAAGGCAUUCUGCUGGAAAAAUGUUGCAGGAGGAAGGAGACGGAGGCUUCCAAUACCAGCAAAAUAAGAUCAGACACGCCUAAGAAACAAGCUUUGACAGUUCAGGAACUUUUGGAGGCUGAACUAGCUAUCAUUCAGUAUUGUCAGCAGCAAAGAUUUGGAGAGGAAAUUGCUGCACUGUCAUCUGGGAAGGCUACUGUGAGCAGAAGCAGCAUUCUUUACAGGUUGGAUCCAUAUUUGGAUAAUGGGCUUCUGAGAGUUGGAGGGCGGUUAACAAAGGGCUCACUGCCAGAGGAAACUAAACAUCCACUUCUACUCUCAAAGGAUCAACAUGUCACCACUCUUAUCCUGAAGCACAUUCACAUACGGUUUGGUCAUAGUGGACGCAAUCACACUCUGUCCACACUGAGAAGAAGGUGGGUCACAAGUGCCAACUCAGCUGUCAGAAAGGUCAUUGCAGAAUGUGGUGUUUGCAGGAGGUAUAAUGGAAGAAUGAUGAAGCAAAAAAUGGCAGAUUUGCCAAAGCAAAGGAUUCUUCCUGAUUAUCUGCCAUUUACCAAUGUUGGCAUUGACUAUUUCGGACCAAUUAUUGUAACCAAAGGACGAGGUACAGUCAAGCGCUAUGGCGUGGUUUUCACCUGUCUAACCAACGGAGCGGUCCAUUUGGAAGUGGCUAACUCUCUGGAUACAGAUUCAUGCAUCAAUGCUUUACGUCGUUUCAUCUACAGAAGAGGUCAAGUUGCUCAUAUUCAAUCUGACAAUGCAACUAACUUCAUAGGAGCAGAGAGAGAGCUAAGAGAGGCGCUUGCAUCACUGAAUCAUGAUCAGAUUCAAGCAGCUUUGAGGAAGGAUGCAGUUAACUGGAGUUUUAAUCCCCCAGCAGGUUCACAUCACGGUGGAGUCUGGGAGCGUAUAAUCCGCAUGGUAAGAAGGAUUCUGAGUUCAGUGCUUCAACAACAAAGACUGGAUGAUGAUGGACUUCAAACAGUGAUGUGUGAAGCUGAAGCCAUCUUAAACGAUCGUCCCAUCACCAAGCUCUCCGAUGAUCCAAACGAUCUGGAACCGCUCACCCCCAACCAUAUUCUGCUCAUGAAGGGAAGACCAUCUUUACCACCUGGAUUGUUUGAGCCACAUGAUCUGUAUGUAAAGCGAAGAUGGAGACAGGUCCAGUAUAUAUCUGACCUUUUCUGGAAACGCUGGAUACGGGAAUAUCUACCUCUACUGCAGGAAAGGCAAAAGUGGAACCAGGAGGUGCUGGUGGCAGAGGUGGAGGAGCGACAGCGUGUUUUGUUUGGCAGCCUGUCCAGUGGCGUCAGUGCAAAACAAAAACGCUUGGAGUGGGAGAAAGUUUGCGAGAGGGUGAAUGCGGUGGGUUCCGAGACACGCACCCCCGCGAAGAUUAAAAAAAAGUGGUCGGACCUCAAGGUGGAGGUCAAGCGGCGUACAGCUGCCCUCCGGAGGAGUACUGGCCAGACAGGUGGGGGUCCGGGGGAGGAGACCCUCACGCCGUUUGAGCAGCGGGUGGUGGCGAUUAUUAUUAUAGGGUAAGUGGCGUGUCACACAAAUGUCCACAUGCUUUGUCAUCCCACUGAGCAAAAGACGUAUAUUAGACAUCUAGUCUAAGUUUAUACUUCAUUUCAACGUCAGGAUUCAGUCUAUUUUUAGAUGUGAUUUAUACUUCGCCCUUAACUUCAUUUUUCGAUAACUUUUUAUGCAAUAAACAACUGUAAUGUGCAUAACUGACCUCUAAAUACUGGAUUACAUUACCUAUGAUACCGUGGAGAGAGAUGUAAACGCAACAGAUACACAGAAGCAGGAAUUGAAAUGAACCAAUAUUUUUAUUGUGUCACAGAAAUCAAUGUGUCGGCCAUGUCGCCGGCUUGCGGAACCC
Molecule: non-coding RNA, 3441 nt
Organism: Xyrichtys novacula (pearly razorfish)
Lineage: Eukaryota; Metazoa; Chordata; Actinopteri; Labriformes; Labridae
Source: the annotation of a GenBank genome assembly